Molecule: long non-coding RNA, 436 nt
Filed under: Malus domestica (apple)
Lineage: Eukaryota; Viridiplantae; Streptophyta; Magnoliopsida; Rosales; Rosaceae
Description: long non-coding RNA (MDOM_LNC007950)
Source: RNAcentral
UUUUCAUAUAGUGAAGAUUGAUCCUUGUUUCGUGGACGUAGGCAUAAAUUGUCGAACCACAUAAAUUCUUGAUGUUCAUUUUCUACUUUACUUUGUACAUUCUUUAUCUUGUAGUACCGACAUUCCUAACAGCUACGUGAUGUUGAAUUUUAUUUUGUUCUACUAAACGAUUGUGUGCCUUUGGUUAGUUCUCUAUGUGAAAUCUACUUGCAUGUUUCUCUUAAAUACCAGGACAUCACAUCUAAUAUUUAAUUAGUCUGGUUAUGAAGUAUAACGUGUUAUUAUACACAAAUUUAUGUUGCAUUUACAUCGAUCUUUUUUCUUUUUGAUAUCAAGAAGGGAAUUGAACAUAAAUGCCAAUUGUAAAAAAGCUACGUAGCUUUCUAAUGUCGCGUAUGUAUAAAGGGAGAUUGUUUUUUGACCUCCAAUGCAUAAU